AUAGUUCGAGCUCUUGAAGGAUAUGGUCUUCCAAAGGAUAAGGCUGCAGAGCAAUGUGGAUGGCAAGCUGGUGGUGCUUUGUGCCCAGGAGGCCUAUGUUGCAGCCAAUAUGGCUGGUGUGCUAACACACCUGAAUAUUGUGGCAGUGGCUGCCAAAGCCAAUGUGAUGGUGGAGUUGGUGGUGAAGGUGGCUGCGUAGACCUUGGUAGUAUCAUCUCAAGAUCAACGUUUGAGGAGAUGCUUAAACAUAGAAAUAAUGCUGCUUGCCCUGCCAAGGGAUUCUAUACCUAUGAUGCUUUUAUAUCAGCAGCCAAAGCAUUUCCAGCCUUCGGCACCACUGGAGAUGUUGAUACAUGUAAAAGGGAGAUUGCUGCAUUCUUUGGCCAGACAUCUCAUGCAACUACAGGUCUUUGGUUUUAUUACCCCUUCUUUUUCUCAUUUUGAGGGUUUGUUUUGAUUAAAACUCAUUUAGAACUCCUAACUCCAAAUCUCAUUGUUUUAAAGGCUACUCAAAUAUUAUUGGGUAAAACUCAUUAAUUUAAUUAAUUAGCUUUAAUUAAUUUAAAGAUUAAUCACCUUAAUUAGUAUAUAAUUAAGUAGUUAAUUGAGAAAUUUGUGUUGGUGAUGCACUGUAGGAGGGUGGCCAACUGCACCAGAUGGACCAUAUGCUUGGGGAUAUUGCCACAAGGAGGAGCUAAAUCAAGCGUCGUCUUACUGUUCUCCAAGUCCCGCUUAUCCUUGUGCUCCUGGCAAGAAAUAUUACGGUAGAGGUCCCAUCCAACUUUCAUGGAAUUAUAAUUAUGGGCAAUGUGGGCAAGCCUUAGGAUUAGACCUAUUGAACAAUCCAGACCUUGUAGCGACAGAUCGAGUCAUUUCUUUCAAGGCAGCAAUUUGGUUCUGGAUGACUCCACAAUUUCCAAAGCCCUCUUGUCAUGACGUCAUCACUGGACAAUGGUCACCCACCGGCCACGAUAUUUCAGCUGGAAGAGCUCCAGGUUAUGGUGUGAUAACAAACAUCAUCAAUGGUGGUCUUGAAUGUGGUAGGGGUUGGGAUGCUAGGGUUGAAGAUCGUAUUGGGUUUUAUAAGAGAUACUGUGAUAUGUUCGGAGUUGGCUAUGGCAGCAAUCUUGACUGCUACAAUCAAAAGCCAUUCGGAUUAGGGUGAGCACUAUUCGGUUUGAAUCGAAUAAAUCGAAUCGAAUCGUCCUAAUUCGAUAAUUUAGUUUAAUUUUUAAGGUAAUUCAGAUAGGUUCGGUUUUAGAUUUUAAAAAUUUAUGUUAUUUUGGUUUGAUUCGGUUUGAUUUUGAAAAAAAAAUCGAUUGAAUUGAACUAAAUCGAAUUAUUUUAUUAAUUUUUAAAUUACUUUUUUUAUAGGAAAUUUAUGUAUUAUAUAUAUUAUUGUAUAUACAAAUUAUUUGAUUUUAUU
RNAcentral lists this unclassified non-coding RNA (1426 nucleotides) under Hevea brasiliensis (rubber tree). Lineage: Eukaryota; Viridiplantae; Streptophyta; Magnoliopsida; Malpighiales; Euphorbiaceae. The record is from RNAcentral.